Molecule: ribosomal RNA, 450 nt
Filed under: uncultured bacterium
Lineage: Bacteria
Description: partial 16S ribosomal RNA
Rfam family: Bacterial small subunit ribosomal RNA
Source: RNAcentral
CCUACGGGUGGCUGCAGUAGGGAAUAUUGCGCAAUGGGGGAAACCCUGACGCAGCAACGCCGCGUGAGUGAGGAAGGUCUUCGGAUUGUAAAACUCUUUUAUUUGGGAAAAAUGUCCUUGUGGCUAAUAUCCACGAGGAGUGAUGGUACCCAAGGAAUAAGCACCGGCUAACUUCGUGCCAGCAGCCGCGGUAAUACGAAGGGUGCAAGCGUUGUUCGGAAUCAUUGGGCGUAAAGCGUGCGUAGGCGGAGAAAUCUCGAGGCUCAACCUCGAAACUGCGUCUGAAACUACAAGUCUAGAAUGUCGGAGGGGGCAGGGGAAUUUCACGUGUAGGGGUCAAAUCCGUAGAGAUGUGAAGGAACACCGGAGGCGAAGGCGCCUGCCUGGACGACUAUUGACGCUGAGGCGCGAAAGCGUGGGGAGCAAACAGGAUUAGAUACCCCGGUAGUC